This is a long non-coding RNA of Brassica napus (rape), 1555 nucleotides long. RefSeq lists it as uncharacterized. The record is from RefSeq and is a predicted model, not a curated record. Lineage: Eukaryota; Viridiplantae; Streptophyta; Magnoliopsida; Brassicales; Brassicaceae. The transcript is spliced from 3 exons.
UGAAAACAGAGCUGUUGUUUAGCUUACAUAUUUGACCUAAAAAAACAUUAGAUGUAAGAAGGAUUCCAACAAUUUUAAAAACCAAAAAAAUAGAUUCAAUAAUUUCAUGCAUUUCAAGAAGAUAAUCAGAACAACGAUAGAUUCGUAUAAAUAAAAUAAAAAUAGAUGGAAUUUUAUCAAACACUAGGAAACAUGAAUUUUUUCUCUUGUGCAAAGUAAUAUGAAACAAUAUGUAAGAAUGUUCACUGUUGAUCAAUAACAAUAGUUCUAUUGGUAAAUAAUUACAUGAAUGGGAUGUGGAGUAUGGACCCAUGAGAAUGAGAGUGUCUAUGACUCAUCUCCACCACAUGUUAGAUAGGAUCUUUCAAGUUCUCAAGUCAAGAUUAUAUUAUAUUCUUUUUUUUUUGAAAAAGUAUUAUUUGAUUCUUAAUUCUUUGAUUUGGUCUUUACGAAAUGUCAUAAUUUUCGGAGACACUAUAUAUUUUUAAAUUGACUCGGUCUAUCGAAUCACAUAUUCAGCCAAAAGACAAUGAAUAAUAAAACCUCACUUCAAAUUUGAUCAUUAAGUAAUAAUAAUCUUGUGAGACACUAAGACACGUAACACAUCGUAUUAUCUUAUCUUAUCAUAUCAUAUACCAAGUGCAGAAGAAGAGAAGAGGACUUACUUAUCUAAGGUAGUUAACAGGUGGUUCCAAACUCCAAAGUGCCAACAAGUAUCCCAAUGACGCUCCAAGACUUCAUUCUAUCUGGCUUAAGUCGAAAGAAAAGCGUUUGGGCCCUGGGCCGAGUUUAGAAAGGAACAACAGAGGGGUACAAGGCCUUAAGGGCCUGUUUAGCUAAAACAUCGGCUUCUCUGUUCUGAGAACGAGGGAUGAACCGGAAAAGGAUAGACGCAAACUUAGAUGAGAGACGAUCGAUGUCUUGAAGGACACCGUAGAUCUCCUUGAUCUGGCUGUUGCUGUUGAUUGCUCUGAUGAGCGUUAGGCAAUCUGAGAAGAUAGUAGCUGUGUGGAUACCGGAUUGGAGCAUAACUUCCAUUCCGUGUCUGAGGGCAAGCGUUUCGGCCAUAAGAGGGGAGGAGACUGAAUCGACGAUCUGGGCCCCAGACUGAGGUCGGAGCUUUGCUAGUAUGUUAGGUAAAUAGUGUUGCAAUGAUCCGAUGAACCUCUGGAUCAAACAAGACAACAAUUGUUCCGAAUUGUUUAACAACAAAUCUUCAUGGAAUGGAGACAAUAUUUAGACACAUAGCGAGGGAAGAAAGUGGCUGCGUACAUCCUAGCGAACGCUACUUGUCUAAAUGUGGGGACAUUCUCAUCAAGAUGUAGAAACAAAUACAUGGUAAAAAGAAAAUGUCCAGUUCAGAGACAUGUAAUAUUGUAUUUUUUUGAAGACACAUGAUAUUCUUAGGUUUCUUCGUUCUCUGCCCUAACAUUAGUUUGGUGUUUCAUGUCUGUGGUUUAUUUUUUGAAUCUCCUGAUAUUUCUUUAUUUUGUGAAAACAGAGUAGGUUUUGUUUACACAUUUGAAAAAAAUAAUCUACCUAUAAGAUUUAUGCU